GGCCUAACACAUGCAAGUCGAGCGCGCCUUCGGGUGAGCGGCGGACGGGUUAGUAACGCGUGGGAACGUACCCUUCUCUACGGAAUAGCCUUUGGAAACGAAGAGUAAUACCGUAUACGCCCUUUGGGGGAAAGAUUUAUCGGAGAAGGAUCGGCCCGCGUUAGAUUAGAUAGUUGGUGGGGUAAUGGCCUACCAAGUCUACGAUCUAUAGCUGGUUUUAGAGGAUGAUCAGCAACACUGGGACUGAGACACGGCCCAGACUCCUACGGGAGGCAGCAGUGGGGAAUCUUAGACAAUGGGCGCAAGCCUGAUCUAGCCAUGCCGCGUGAGUGAUGAAGGCCUUAGGGUCGUAAAGCUCUUUCGCCUGUGAUGAUAAUGACAGUAGCAGGUAAAGAAACCCCGGCUAACUCCGUGCCAGCAGCCGCGGUAAUACGGAGGGGGUUAGCGUUGUUCGGAAUUACUGGGCGUAAAGCGCACGUAGGCGGAUUGGAAAGUUGGGGGUGAAAUCCCGGGGCUCAACCCCGGAACUGCCUCCAAAACUAUCAGUCUAGAGUUCGAGAGAGGUGAGUGGAAUUCCAAG
Molecule: ribosomal RNA, 580 nt
Filed under: uncultured Alphaproteobacteria bacterium
Lineage: Bacteria; Pseudomonadati; Pseudomonadota; Alphaproteobacteria
Description: bacterial SSU rRNA
Rfam family: Bacterial small subunit ribosomal RNA
Source: RNAcentral